GAUGAACGCUGGCGGCGUGCCUAAUACAUGCAAGUCGAGCGAACAGAUGAGGAGCUUGCUCCUCUGACGUUAGCGGCGGACGGGUGAGUAACACGUGGAUAACCUACCUAUAAGACUGGGAUAACUUCGGGAAACCGUGGCUAAUACCGGAUAAUAUAUUGAACCGCAUGGUUCAAUAGUGAGAGAAGGUUUUUCUUUCGCUUAUAGAUGAAUCCGCGCCGCAUUAGCUAGUUGGUAAGGUAACGGCUUACCAAGGCGACGAUGCGUAGCCGACCCGAGAGGGAGAUCGGCCACACGGGAACUGAGACACGGUCGAGACACCGAGGGUAGGCAGCAGUAGGGAAUCUUACGCAAGGGGCGAGAGCGGGACGGAGGAACGCCGCGUGAGUGAUGAAGGUGCUCGGAUCGGAAAACUCUGUUAGCAGGGGAGAAGUAAAGUGUAAGUAACUAUGCAGAUCUUGACGGUACCGAAACAGAAAGCCACGGCUAACUACGUG
Molecule: ribosomal RNA, 497 nt
Filed under: uncultured bacterium
Lineage: Bacteria
Description: partial 16S ribosomal RNA
Rfam family: Bacterial small subunit ribosomal RNA
Source: RNAcentral